CCUUGCCGCCGGCGACCGGCGCACGGGUGAGUAACGCGUAUGCGACCUGCCCGUUGCAGGGGGAUAACCGGGAGAAAUCCCGCCUAAUACAACAUAAUGCCGGGAGGGGACAUCCCCUGCCGGCCAAAGGGGGCGACCCCGGUCACGGAUGGGCAUGCGGCGCAUUAGGUAGUUGGUGGGGCAACGGCCCACCAAGCCGACGAUGCGUAGGGGUUCUGAGAGGAAGGUCCCCCACAUUGGAACUGAGACACGGUCCAAACUCCUACGGAAGGCAGCAG
RNAcentral lists this ribosomal RNA (278 nucleotides) under uncultured bacterium. RNAcentral's name for it is "partial 16S ribosomal RNA". It matches the Rfam family "Bacterial small subunit ribosomal RNA", at positions 80 to 354 of the family's 1533-position model. The record is from RNAcentral.